AGCAGCCGCGGUAAUUCCAGCUCCAAUAGCGUAUAUUAAAGUUGCUGCAGUUAAAAAGCUCGUAGUUGAAUUUCGGGAUCAAUAUGUUGGUCGUGCCUUGGUACGUACUAGCUUAUUGGUUUCUCCCUUCUGACGAACCAUGAUGUCAUUAAUUUGGUGUCAUGUGGAAUCAGGACUGUUACCUUGAAAAAAUUAGAGUGUUUAAAGCAGGCUCACGCUUGAAUACAUUAGCAUGGAAUAAUGAGAUAGGACGUUUGAUUCUAUUUUGUUGGUUUCUAGGAUCGACGUAAUGAUUAAUAGGGAUAGUUGGGGGCAUUAGUAUUCAAUUGUCAGAGGUGAAAUUCUUGGAUUUAUUGAAGACUAACUACUGCGAAAGCAUUUGCCAAGGAUGUUUUCAUUAAUCAAGAACGAAAGUUAGGGGAUCGAAGACGAUCAGAUACCGUCGUAGUCUUAACCAUAAACUAUGCCGGCUAGGGAUCGGAUGAUGUUAAUUUUUAAUGA
Molecule: ribosomal RNA, 501 nt
Filed under: uncultured Glomus
Lineage: Eukaryota; Fungi; Glomeromycota; Glomeromycetes; Glomerales; Glomeraceae
Description: SSU rRNA
Rfam family: Eukaryotic small subunit ribosomal RNA
Source: RNAcentral